Equus caballus (horse) is the source of this 2776-nucleotide non-coding RNA. NCBI's taxonomy places the organism in Eukaryota, Metazoa, Chordata, Mammalia, Perissodactyla, Equidae. The record is from RefSeq and is a predicted model, not a curated record.
CGCGGGAAGCUGGCCAGAGAGAAGACAGAGGACGCUCACGGGCCUGUCCCCAGGCACGGCUCUGGCACGGCCAGCCCAGGUGGGAGACCACGAGAUUCUCGUUUGGAGUCUGGGCUCCUGAAGCCAAUUCCCGGCUCUGGCUCUGGCUGGUUUUGCCACUCUGGGGGCAAGGGGGGACAGUGGGAGGGACCCUCCGUCUCUGAGCUUUGGUAAGAUGAGGAGUGGGCCCGUUCACUGCAGCAGUCUCCAUGGGCAGCCCUGGUCUGCUCUAGUGGACACUUCCUACCACGGCCAUGUUGCUAAUCAUUGACGAAGCAACGCACGCUGCAACUUCAUUUUGUGUAUUAUUAACAGAAAGAGAACCUAAUUAAAACGUAUUUCUCACUUUAUAUGUUAAAAGAAAGCAGGAGGAGAGUGGGGAAGGGAGGAGAAAAGCCCCUGCAGCCUCCAGGUCUAACAAGUGGGUGAGAGUGUGCACACACAGCGUGCCGGGUACCACUCAGGAAGCUCUCCCUACAGCGCUGUGGGAUGGAAAGGCCAAGUUCAGAGCUUGUGGACCAGCUUUCUUGAAAAAUGCCUUUCGAUAAUUUAAACCUAGGCAAAUACACCAAAACCUGUGUGCAAAAAGAAACCAUUUGGCUCUUACAGGAGGAAUAACAUCUAGCAGAGCGAGCUGCAGCCCACGUGGCUCCCACUUUUAGCCAGAAGUAACACGUUUGGAGAGGGAAAGGUAGGCUCUGAGAGUGAUUCAGACUAAUCACCAGACGACAGGAAGCCCUCACGCCUGACAUGGCCCUGAACCCGCUGCCCUCCUCCCAGCGUCUCAACAGGAAGAUCACCAGGAGAUGCGUGAAAUUUUCAGUUUUUAAAUUGCCUGUCUUCAGACUGCUUUAGGCCCAACCCAGACUCUUCCAUGCCUAGGCCGUGAAUCCAUUUACAGUAUAGGAGAGUCUGAAAUUCUGAUACACGGAAAUGGCAAGAGAAGGGGGAAAAAGCGCUGUGACGCACAGGCUAAUCUAGGCUCCCAGCAUUCCAUGUUUCCAGUGCAGGCUGUCCUUAAUCCAACUUCACACGCCAGGGGAAGCCCACCCAAACGGAAUGGGCUGGAUGAACUCUCCCCUCCCCAAGUAUCACUGUCAAGCCUCAAAGCUAUGACUUCCCCUUCCUGGAAACCAAGAGUUUACGACAUCUACACAUGGCGCUUAAAAUAAGGGAGCCCUUCAGGUAAGAAUUCAGGAGCCAGGGCCAGCCCCGUGGUGCAGAGGUUAAGUUCCCACGUGCCGCUUCAAUGGCCCGGGGUUCGCCGGUUCCAAUCCCGGGUGCGGACAAGGCACUGCUUGGCAAGCCAUGCUGUGGUGGGCGUCCCACGUAUAAAGUAGAGGAAGACGGGCACGGAUGUUAGCUCAGGGCCAGACUUCCUCAGGAAAAAGAGGAGGACUGGCAGUGGAUGUUAGCUCAGGGCUAAUCUUCCUCAAAAAAAAAAGAAUUCAGGAGUCACUAAAGGGUCAACAGGUCAAGGGUCCACACCUGUCCACUCGGGAAACUUAUCUGGGAGAGAAGGGCAAGGAGGAGAAUGCUCCAUCUAGGUGAUCAGCACUCUGGAAAUAGAGGGCAGGUCAAACCGCAGCAAAGCCUACAUCACAGCAGCCUUCCACAAGGAACCGUGCAAAUGGCCCAAAGGCUGAAGGUGGCAAAGUAGCACACAAAGGAUGAAAAACAUAAAACAAAGCAAGAAGUCAGUAUCACAAAUUAAUCCAUAAGCUAUCAGGUGAACAUAAAUGACUCUACCUUAGAUAAGAUUUCCAGGGCAGGGGAAAUAGGAAUUCUACAGCAUAGAAACAAAGUGCUCCUCUGCAAACGCACAGGAGGGGAGUUCACGGUGAGCCUUUAAGAAAUAGGCCUCAUUCCCUCUGUUCUUUACACACACGCACAACAGCAGAGCCAUCCUAACAACUCCAAAGGGAGCAGGUGGUUUCUGUGUAGAAAGAAUCCAUGAUGACAGCAAGGUUUGGGUUGUUGUACAGACCUCACCCCGCAGAAUACUUCAAUAUAGUCAGCUGCCGAGGAAGCCUUAUUUUUCCACUGACUUCAACCAUAAGAUCAGAAAUAAACUGUAAUGGAAAAAAUCUUUAAUAGACAAUUUUUUGUCAAAAAGGGACUUAAUGGCCUAGUAUCAGUUAAGGCGUGUUUUGUUGGGGUGUGUGUGAACAUGUAUGCACGUGUUAUACACACAUAACCUGAUGGGAAUUGGAGUCAAUGCUUCUUUCCCUUUGUGACUCUUUCCUGGAUCUUCCUUCUGUUGACCAACUUCCUGGAUCUCUUAAACUUGCAGAAUUUCCUGAGAACUUUAAAACUGACUCCUUCCUCUGCAUUUUGCUUGUGUAGCUCCCAAGUGCUAAGAGAGCAGGUGUGCAACACUAUGCUGCACAACCAGGUGCCAUCAGACUACAGUGACUACUCCAGCAGCCUAGUCACUGACCACAGGCUUUGGGCGAAAUAAAAGAACUUACUCCAGUGGCCAGUGUGCCUCAGUCCCAUGCUCAAUCAUCUUCACAAUGCACCAGGAAACUUCUCCCCAGAUGAGGAAACUGAGGAAAAAGAAUGGAAGCAUCUAACUCAACAUCACUCAGCCAUCUGAGGUGCACGUGAGAAGAGACUCCAGAGAUCCUGUUGGUAGGCUGGUGACUGUGGCAAUUAGCUGCUCAAAGCAGAGGGGAUCAGCCCUGAGCCUCUGCUGCACCCAGAACCCACACAGGCCCCCUUCCUCACCAGAGAA